This 87-nucleotide small nucleolar RNA is filed under the name Triticum aestivum (bread wheat). Its description in RNAcentral is "snoRNA snoU31b". It matches the Rfam family "Small nucleolar RNA U31b". Lineage: Eukaryota; Viridiplantae; Streptophyta; Magnoliopsida; Poales; Poaceae. RNAcentral also lists the same sequence under 1 other name. The record is from Rfam by way of RNAcentral.
GAGGAUGAUGAUUUCAAAUUUGUCGCCCCAGUCUUAGGGUCCACUUAGGUGGAUCUGUGCUGAUGGACAUAUUACUAAAUCUGACUC